GGAGGGACUGAACUUUGAAGACAUGCCAUAGCUCUGGCAGGACACUAGAUCAUUCUUCUAUAGAUAAUUAUAAUUGUUUUGAUGGGACGUGGAGGGGAGAAUUUGGAGGCCUGCCAGGGCUUUGGCAGGUCGUUGGGAUACUCCCUGCCUGAAAUCAAAAGUGGAAUUUUACAGCUGCAAUCAGAAGAGUUGAGAACAAAGACAGAGAUUUCUCCAGAGUAACUUCGAGUCAACAAAGCUGUAAGGCACAAAAGGAUCAGGAAUAAUUAAUAGGAACAUAAUAUUUGAUAAAGAAUUAGAGGAACAAUUGGUGGAAAUUAAAACCUCACACAGGAAGAAGAAAGGAGAACUUCACUUGCGAAUUUACAAAUGAUUAUAUGUGUUAAUGCGAAUUGAAGUUAAUAAUUGUACCUGUGAUAUAAGGUAUGUGGGGCUGUUGAAGAGGAUGCACCUAUGGUGAAGGAUAUUGUGUCUCUGGGAAAUUCCAUAGGCUUGGAAGUGAGUGGUGAUGAUGAUAAGGAGUUAGUGGAGGAGCACAAGACUGAGCUCAUCACAGAAGAACUUCAAAACUUUCUGAUAGAGCAGCAACAGGUGGCAACUGGGGAAAUGUUUUCAAAGGAGGAGAGGAGCAGAGAGAGUGUAUCUACUGUAGUGAUCAAAGAAAUGUUUGCAAAAUGGGCCGAAGUGCAAACUUUUGUCGAAAAAUAUCACCCCGAUAAAGCUGCUGUAAGUCAUGCCACUAACACUUUCAAUGAUAACGCUAUGUCUCACUUCAGACAAAUUUUAAAACAUUGGCAAAAGCAAGUCUCAAUUGAAAAAGCUUUGGUGAGGAAAAGAUCCAGCGAGUCUGAACCAGGUGUCAGUGGUGUAAAAAAAAAAAGCAAGAGAAGGAAUGGCAGGAGAGGAGUCACCGAUUGAGAUUUUGGAAGAGGACCCUGACCCCCCAUCCAAACAAUGACUAUCAUCAGUGCAGCAACAUCUGCCCAGCCUGUUGCAUCCUUGGGAUGGAGGAAUACAAGGCAGAUGUGCGCCAUCACUUCCCACAGCUGCUGAUAGCUCUCCUGGAGAUGAUUUCCAACUUCCUCUACGACCAGGAAUUCCUCAAAGGGGCUAAGGAACUUCUGCAUCUCAUUCUCGGCACCACUGGAGAGCAACCAGAAAUGGCCAUCGUAGACCAGCUUUUCAGACCGGAGACCUUCAGCCAGAGGUUGUCUGCCAUGGUGAAGUAAGAGGAAGAACACCGUGAGCUCCCAAUGCCUAUCAGCUGGAAUCUGAGAGGCAGCCUCCGAAAACAGGAAGACGCAAGGAGAAUGUCAUCUGCUGGGAAAGGAGCCUCACUGAAGACGACACCCGCGAUAUCAACCCACAACAUUCCAGUGACUUUGGG
Long non-coding RNA from Podarcis muralis (Common wall lizard), 1387 nucleotides. RefSeq lists it as uncharacterized. NCBI's taxonomy places the organism in Eukaryota, Metazoa, Chordata, Lepidosauria, Squamata, Lacertidae. The record is from RefSeq and is a predicted model, not a curated record.